This 274-nucleotide ribosomal RNA is filed under the name uncultured bacterium. RNAcentral describes it as "partial 16S ribosomal RNA". It matches the Rfam family "Bacterial small subunit ribosomal RNA", at positions 523 to 796 of the family's 1533-position model. The record is from RNAcentral.
AUACGGAGGGUCCAAGCGUUAUUCGGAUUCAUUGGGUUUAAAGGGUCCGCAGGCGGGAAAAUAAGUCAGUGGUGAAAGCCUACAGCUCAACUGUAGAACUGCCAUUGAAACUGUUUUUCUUGAGUAUAGAUGAAGUGGGCGGAAUAUAUCAUGUAGCGGUGAAAUGCAUAGAUAUGAUAUAGAACACCGAUUGCGAAGGCAGCUCACUAAACUAUUACUGACGCUCAGGGACGAAAGCGUGGGGAGCGAACAGGAUUAGAAACCCCAGUAGUCC